RNAcentral lists this ribosomal RNA (484 nucleotides) under uncultured bacterium. RNAcentral's name for it is "partial 16S ribosomal RNA". It matches the Rfam family "Bacterial small subunit ribosomal RNA", at positions 30 to 507 of the family's 1533-position model. The record is from RNAcentral.
AUUGAACGCUGGCGGAAUGCUUUACACAUGCAAGUCGAGCGGCAGCACGGGGGCAACCCUGGUUGCGAGCGGCGAACGGGUGAGUAAUACAUCGGAACAUGCCCAGUCGUGGGGGAUAACACUUCGAAAGAAGUGCUAAUACCGCAUACGUCCUGAGGGAGAAAGCGGGGGAUCGCAAGACCUCGCGCGAUUGGAGUGGCCGAUGUCAGAUUAGCUAGUUGGUGGGGUAAAGGCCUACCAAGGCAACGAUCUGUAGCUGGUCUGAGAGGAUGAUCAGCCACACUGGGACUGAGACACGGCCCAGACUCCUACGGGAGGCAGCAGUGGGGAAUUUUGGACAAUGGGGGCAACCCUGAUCCAGCCAUUCCGCGUGAGUGAAGAAGGCCUUCGGGUUGUAAAGCUCUUUCGGCAGGAACGAAACGGUGAGCUCUAACAUAGCUUGCUAAUGACGGUACCUGAAGAAGAAGCACCGGCUAACUACGUG